UCCGCCAUAGCUCAGAUGGUUAGAGCGCACGGCUGUUAACCGUGAGGUCGUCGGUUCGAUCCCGACUGGCGGAG
Molecule: transfer RNA, 74 nt
Filed under: Tetradesmus obliquus
Lineage: Eukaryota; Viridiplantae; Chlorophyta; Chlorophyceae; Sphaeropleales; Scenedesmaceae
Description: tRNA-Asn
Rfam family: tRNA
About the family: Transfer RNA (tRNA) molecules are approximately 80 nucleotides in length.
Source: RNAcentral